CCUAGGGAACUUGUUAAAAUGCAGUCUGACUCAGUAAGUCUAGGCUGGGGCCUGAGAUUCUGCAUUUCUGAUAAGCUCCCAGGUGAUGCUGAUGCUGCAGGUCC
Molecule: microRNA precursor, 104 nt
Filed under: Chlorocebus sabaeus (green monkey)
Lineage: Eukaryota; Metazoa; Chordata; Mammalia; Primates; Cercopithecidae
Description: miRNA (ENSCSAG00000026399.1)
Source: RNAcentral